UCACACAAAUGUUAUAGUUGACCA
RNAcentral lists this non-coding RNA (24 nucleotides) under Arabidopsis thaliana (thale cress). Lineage: Eukaryota; Viridiplantae; Streptophyta; Magnoliopsida; Brassicales; Brassicaceae. The record is from RNAcentral.